This 316-nucleotide ribosomal RNA is filed under the name Panjange sp. Ind103. Its description in RNAcentral is "partial 12S ribosomal RNA". Lineage: Eukaryota; Metazoa; Arthropoda; Arachnida; Araneae; Pholcidae. The record is from RNAcentral.
AAAUAAAUAAUAACAGAAUAAAAUAAAUCAAUAUAUAAUGGCAGUCUCUACAUGUUAAAGAAGCUCGCUUCAUAAUCGUAAAUACUCGAUAAAUUUCACUUAUCAUAAAAGUUUAUAUACCGCCGUUAAGGGUUAACAAUCUAAAUAUCCCAAACAUUAACUCAAAUCAAUUUCAGGUCAAGGUGUAACCCAAGAACAAGAAGAAGUAAGCUACAUAUUAAAAAGAUUAAAGGAAAUAAAACAAAAAUAAUAUGGAAAAAGAAUUUAUAUGUAAAUAAUAACCAAAAUUUAAUAUAGACCUAACAAAUAAAGAUGC